This 496-nucleotide ribosomal RNA is filed under the name uncultured bacterium. Its description in RNAcentral is "bacterial SSU rRNA". It matches the Rfam family "Bacterial small subunit ribosomal RNA", at positions 802 to 1298 of the family's 1533-position model. The record is from RNAcentral.
GUAAACGAUGAGUGCUAAGUGUUGGAGGGUUUCCGCCCUUCAGUGCUGCAGCUAACGCAUUAAGCACUCCGCCUGGGGAGUACGACCGCAAGGUUGAAACUCAAAGGAAUUGACGGGGGCCCGCACAAGCGGUGGAGCAUGUGGUUUAAUUCGAAGCAACGCGAAGAACCUUACCAGGUCUUGACAUCCUUUGACACUUUUAGAGAUAGAAGGUUCCCUUCGGGGACAAAGAGACAGGUGGUGCAUGGUUGUCGUCAGCUCGUGUCGUGAGAUGUUGGGUUAAGUCCCGCAACGAGCGCAACCCUUAUUGUUAGUUGCCAGCAUUCAGUUGGGCACUCUAGCGAGACUGCCGGUGACAAACCGGAGGAAGGUGGGGAUGACGUCAAAUCAUCAUGCCCCUUAUGACCUGGGCUACACACGUGCUACAAUGGGCAGUACAAUGAGCUGCAAGACCGCGAGGUUAAGCGAAUCUCAUAAAGCUGCUCUCAGUUCGGAU